This 905-nucleotide ribosomal RNA is filed under the name uncultured bacterium. RNAcentral describes it as "bacterial SSU rRNA". It matches the Rfam family "Bacterial small subunit ribosomal RNA", at positions 33 to 943 of the family's 1533-position model. The record is from RNAcentral.
ACGCUGGCGGCGUGCUUAACACAUGCAAGUCGAACGAUGAAGCCUAGCUUGCUAGGUGGAUUAGUGGCGAACGGGUGAGUAAUACGUGAGUAACCUACCUUUAACUCUGGGAUAAGCCUGGGAAACUGGGUCUAAUACCGGAUACGACCAAUCUCCGCAUGGGGUGUUGGUGGAAAGCGUUAUGUAGUGGUUAUAGAUGGGCUCACGGCCUAUCAGCUUGUUGGUGAGGUAACGGCUCACCAAGGCGACGACGGGUAGCCGGCCUGAGAGGGUGACCGGCCACACUGGGACUGAGACACGGCCCAGACUCCUACGGGAGGCAGCAGUGGGGAAUAUUGCACAAUGGGCGCAAGCCUGAUGCAGCGACGCCGCGUGAGGGAUGACGGCCUUCGGGUUGUAAACCUCUGUUAGCAGGGAAGAAGAGAGAUUGACGGUACCUGCAGAGAAAGCGCCGGCUAACUACGUGCCAGCAGCCGCGGUAAUACGUAGGGCGCGAGCGUUGUCCGGAAUUAUUGGGCGUAAAGAGCUUGUAGGCGGUUUGUCGCGUCUGCUGUGAAAGGCCGGGGCUUAACCCCGUGUAUUGCAGUGGGUACGGGCAGACUAGAGUGCAGUAGGGGAGACUGGAAUUCCUGGUGUAGCGGUGGAAUGCGCAGAUAUCAGGAGGAACACCGAUGGCGAAGGCAGGUCUCUGGGCUGUAACUGACGCUGAGAAGCGAAAGCAUGGGGAGCGAACAGGAUUAGAUACCCUGGUAGUCCAUGCCGUAAACGUUGUGCACUAGGUGUGGGGGACAUUCCACGUUUUCCGCGCCGUAGCUAACGCAUUAAGUGCCCCGCCUGGGGAGUACGGCCGCAAGGCUAAAACUCAAAGAAAUUGACGGGGGCCCGCACAAGCGGCGGAGCAUGCG